UCUCGGCAACGGAUAUCUCGGCUCUCGCAUCGAUGAAGAACGUAGCGAAAUGCGAUACUUGGUGUGAAUUGCAGAAUCCCGUGAACCAUCGAGUCUUUGAACGCAAGUUGCGCCUGAGGCCGUUAGGCUGAGGGCACGUCUGCCUGGGCGUCACAU
Molecule: ribosomal RNA, 156 nt
Filed under: Liparophyllum gunnii
Lineage: Eukaryota; Viridiplantae; Streptophyta; Magnoliopsida; Asterales; Menyanthaceae
Description: 5.8S ribosomal RNA
Rfam family: 5.8S ribosomal RNA
About the family: 5.8S ribosomal RNA (5.8S rRNA) is a component of the large subunit of the eukaryotic ribosome.
Source: RNAcentral